AACGUAGGAGCCUAGCGUUAUCCGAAUUUACUGGGCGUAAAGCGCGUGCAGGCGGUUCGAUAAGUUGGAUGUGAAAUCUCCUGGCUCAACUAGGAGAGGUCGUUCAAAACUAUCGGACUAGAGGAUGGUAGAGGGAGGUGGAAUUCCCGGUGUAGUGGUGAAAUGCGUAGAUAUCGGGAGGAACACCAGUGGCGAAAGCGGCCUCCUGGGCCAUUCCUGACGCUCAGACGCGAAAGCUAGGGGAGCAAACGGG
RNAcentral lists this ribosomal RNA (253 nucleotides) under uncultured bacterium. RNAcentral describes it as "partial 16S ribosomal RNA". It matches the Rfam family "Bacterial small subunit ribosomal RNA", at positions 524 to 776 of the family's 1533-position model. The record is from RNAcentral.